RNAcentral lists this ribosomal RNA (304 nucleotides) under Aprosthema fusicorne. RNAcentral's name for it is "partial large subunit ribosomal RNA". The record is from RNAcentral. Lineage: Eukaryota; Metazoa; Arthropoda; Insecta; Hymenoptera; Argidae.
AUAAUAAUUAGUCUUUUAAUUGAAGGCUGGAAUGAAUGAUUGAACGAGAUAUUUACUGUCUCAAAUAAAUUAUUUUUUGAAUUUUAUUUUUAAGUUAAAAAGCUUAAAUUAUAUUAGAGGACGAGAAGACCCUAUAGAGUUUUAUAAUUUAUUAAUAAAAUAUUUUUUAUUUAUAUAAUUUAUUAAUUAAUUAUUAUGUUGGGGCGACAGGAAAAUUUAAUAAACUUUUUUAAUUUAAAUACAUUAAUAUAUGAAUUUUUGAUCCUAAAUUUCUAGAUUAUUAGAUUAAGUUACCUUAGGGAUA